CUGCUGGGAUACCAGGUCCAUCUUCACGAUGCGCAAAUAAAGCCAACCUGUCAAUUAAAGCAAUUAUUAUAUUUUUCACAUUAACAUUUUGGUGCAGCUCAGCACAAGCUCUGAGAAAUGGGUUCAAGGUUUGGAGAUGAAACUCAUCUGGGAAAACCUGUAUGAUACACUCCAUGAGGUACUCCUGAGCUAAAGCAUCUCUACAGUUUACAACCUGCUCCAAUAUUCCAGGCAGAACAAUCUGCUUAUAUCGUUCCACAUUAACACCUUCCAGCUGACUGAGGCGAACAAGGUUGGUUCCUACUAGGAUUCUCAGUUCCUGCCUUUCCCGCUCUCUCUUUUCUCUGUCCCUACUAUGGCCCUGGUGUUGCAUCCGCACCCAAAGUUUGUUCAUCUCAGCAAAGUUCAGCAGCACAAAGUCCAUAGAAUCACUGAUGUCUCCAGUGGUUUCUUCAUCUGCUUGCUCGCCUUCAUCUGGUAAAAUAUUCCUGGUACACUGCAGGAGAUAGUUGCGAAGAAAGAGGCCUCUAAGAGGAUGCUGUACUCCACGGCACAUCUCCACCAGGUCUUUCAAAAUAUCUUUCCUGGACUGUGGAAAUGACUUGACAUACACAACACCUACUGUUAUUAGGAGAUACAGUCUUGGAAUAAUAUUUCCAGCAUACUGUACUAGCUCAUAAAGGUCUGCCACUUUCCUUCCUUUGGCAAAUUCAUCCGUCAGGUAGACUUCCAAGUAGUGUAGCUCAUCAGAAAUUGCCAUGUAGAGCUCAUAAUAGCUCUUAGGAGAUAACAUAGAAGUCCGCAGCUCACCAAGCUUGUUGGACGCAUGUUUCAAAGCAUCCAUGAGCUUGUUUUUGUCCAAGCAUCUCUUCAUUUGGAAAGACUGCACCUUCACAGCCUGAAUGGCUUCAUCCAGGAGUUUUUCCUGUUCAUCCUGAGGAGAUUGCUGUGUUGUUGGCAUGGUCGCGCCGCUGCCACGAGC
This 982-nucleotide long non-coding RNA is filed under the name Gallus gallus (chicken). The record is from RNAcentral. Lineage: Eukaryota; Metazoa; Chordata; Aves; Galliformes; Phasianidae.